CCGAUGGAGGGGGAUAACACUGGAAACGGUAGCUAAUACCGCAUAACGUCGCAAGACCAAAGAGGGGGACCUUUAGGCGUCUUGCCAUCGGAUGUGCCCAGAUGGGAUUAGCUAGUAGGUGGGGUAAUGGCUCACCUAGGCGACGAUCCCUAGCUGGUCUGAGAGGAUGACCAGCCACACUGGAACUGAGACACGGUCCAG
Molecule: ribosomal RNA, 201 nt
Filed under: uncultured bacterium
Lineage: Bacteria
Description: partial 16S ribosomal RNA
Rfam family: Bacterial small subunit ribosomal RNA
Source: RNAcentral